UUAAAGAAAAGCUUACCAUAUCAAAUUAUAUUUUAAUGUUAAGUGCUUAAUAACUGAGCUCCUUAACAUACUGUAGAAUGUGUAAUCUCAAUCAUGGUGGAAUGGAAAUACUGUCAAGGAUUUAGAUCAAAAAAGAUGGGUUCAUUGGUAUGUCAUCAGGAGUUAAAAUAAAUUUCCUUGAGAGAAUGUGAAAAGCAAUGUAAAAUGUGCUAAGAGCAGGUGUUUGGCCUACCUAUUGGAAUGCAUGCAUCCCAUAUCAAGUUUGCUCCUGAUUCAACCUUCCUACAAACUCAGCACCUGGGAGGAAGCUGUGAUUGCUCAAGUAAUUGAGUUCCUAUACCCACAUAGGAGACUCACAGUGAGAAUCCAUCUCUUCAGCUUCCUGGCUGUAUGGGACAAUUGGUGAAUGGAACAGUGGAUGUGAGCUCUUUCUAACUUCCCUUCUCAAAUGAAAUAAAUAAAUAGAAUAAUAAAAUGUGGUCAUCUCCCUGGUUGGCCUGGGAAAGCAGUAGAAGAUGGCCUAAAGUCUUGGGAGCCUGCAUCCACAUGGAAAGAAGCUCCUGGCUCUUUGCUUUGGAUCAGCUCUGGUCUGGCCAUUGCAGCCACUUGGGGAGUGAACCAGCAGACAGAAGAUCUUUCUGUCUGUCUCUCCUUCUCUCUGUAAAUCUGACUUUCCAAUAAAAAUAAA
This is a long non-coding RNA of Ochotona princeps (American pika), 688 nucleotides long. RefSeq lists it as uncharacterized. Lineage: Eukaryota; Metazoa; Chordata; Mammalia; Lagomorpha; Ochotonidae. The transcript is spliced from 2 exons. The record is from RefSeq and is a predicted model, not a curated record.